AUACCUACUGAGCAGGGAAGAUGCUAUGGUCACGAAGGUGUUUUUCCCGAGGUGAGGCCUCUCCGUUGUAUUUUAGAUAUCCUGACUCCUGCAAUAUCCCCAAAUGUGGGAAAACGUGCCUGCACACUUCGUGGUAGUGAGGAACUUGGUUCAUGCUCUCCC
Myodes glareolus (Bank vole) is the source of this 162-nucleotide non-coding RNA. The record is from RefSeq and is a predicted model, not a curated record. Lineage: Eukaryota; Metazoa; Chordata; Mammalia; Rodentia; Cricetidae.